Molecule: non-coding RNA, 1240 nt
Organism: Mus caroli (Ryukyu mouse)
Lineage: Eukaryota; Metazoa; Chordata; Mammalia; Rodentia; Muridae
Source: RefSeq, a predicted model, not a curated record
AUCAGCUCCUGCCUCCAAGUUCCUGUCCUGUGAAUAGAAACCCUGACGAAGACACUAGUCUCAUUCUUGGGAGUUCCACAACAUAAUCGCAGUCUAGUUCUCCAAGUGCCUACCUCCUAGGACCAUCUAAGGAGAGUCAAGACUUCAACAUUUGAAUUUAGAGGAAAGAAUGCAAAGGCUCUGGCCACAGCAUGAUGGAGAUACUAGGUCCCUUCAGGUUCUUCUAGAACCACGUCUACCAUGGGCAGCCAUUGAUUGAUAAGGACAGCAUUCAACUCGUCUGGGACUCUGGCUUUCAAAUCUCAGUCUGGAAAAUGAACGCAAUCAUUUUCAGAAUUUCCUGGUUUGAUCGGCCCCCGACAGGUCUCUGAUGGAAGAGCCAGGGAGUUAAUCCCACGGGGGAUUAGCAAAAGGUUUGGGAUCAUUUAGAUAAAGAGAUAUGAUGUGCUGGCUAACUUCCCCUUCUCUGGAUGAACAUCUGUCAUGUCAUGUUCCAUUUGGCACCUGCUCCUGUCUGUGAUCAAAUAUUCUAUAAUUUCUCAGAGCAGCAGAACGGCCACCCUUGGUUCUCUGGGGCUUGGAAGGUGACACAACACAGGUGGAGAAAGGAAAUAAUAACGCAUUUGAUGUCAGCAGGGCCAGCUCCUCGAGGUUUGAUCUUAGUCACAGGGCCAGCCAAAGCCUCCUCUCAAGGACAAAGAAAUCCUAAGGAGUGAGCCACUUACAGCUACUUGGAGGAAGAGGCUCUGAAAAGGACAGUCACCCAUGCCCAAGGACUUCAGCACUGGGACAUUGGUCUGCUGCUGCUGCUGCCGCCGUGGCUCUAGCUACGCAUGGCUGAUUUUGCCAUGAAAUCGUGGGAACGUCCUGCUCAAAGAUGGAGGAAUUUCACAAACCACAUCUAUGACUUUUUCUUUUGGGUCAGAUCUAGGCUGUUUUGCUUCCAUCAAUUUAAUAACUUAACAGAAAAUAAAAAAGAAUUAAAAAAAAAAGGCUCAGCGCAGUGGUACGUGUCUGUAAUCUCAAGAGUCAGGAGGUAGAGACCUGCAGACUUUGAGUUCAAGGUUAGCCUGAGCUAAGUAUUGAGUUUCAGGGCAGCCUGGACUACAUAGAGAGACACUUCUUGCAAAACAAACAAAUGAACAAAUGAACGGAAGCCCUACCAAUUAUUUAGCACUAUACAGAUACCACAAUCUGCUACCUGAGUUCUAGGUCACUCUCAACACUUCUUGGAUAAAAU